RNAcentral lists this ribosomal RNA (512 nucleotides) under uncultured bacterium. RNAcentral describes it as "partial 16S ribosomal RNA". It matches the Rfam family "Bacterial small subunit ribosomal RNA", at positions 28 to 507 of the family's 1533-position model. The record is from RNAcentral.
GAUGAACGCUGGCGGCGUGCCUAAUACAUGCAAGUCGACCGACACUUUUUUAUUACCGAGUGCUUGCACCCACCGAUAAAGAGUUGAGUGGCGAACGGGUGAGUAACACGUGGGCAACCUGCCCAAAAGAGGGGGAUAACACUUGGAACCAGGUGCUAAUACCGCAUAACCAUUGUUACCGCAUGGUAACACUGUAAAAGGUUGUUAUCCUACUGCUUUUGGUUGGGGCCGCGGCAGAUUAGCUACUUGGUAGGGUAAAGGCUUGCCCAGGCAAUGCAGCGUAGCCGAAUUGAGAGAUGAAUCCACCAAAUUGGGACUGUGACAAGGCCCACACUUCUAGCGUAGACAACAGUAGGGAAUCAUCCACAGUGGUCGAAAGUCUGAUGAAGCAGCGCCACGUGGGGGAAGCAGGUCUUCGGAUCGUAAAACCCUGUUGUUAGAGAAGAAAGGGAGUAAGAGUAACUGUUCACGUUUCGACGGUAGCUAAACAGAAAGCCACGGCUAACUACGUG